UCCGGUUUGUCACCGGCAGUCUCCUUAGAGUGCUCUUGCGUAGCAACUAAGGACAAGGGUUGCGCUCGUUGCGGGACUUAACCCAACAUCUCACGACACGAGCUGACGACAGCCAUGCAGCACCUGUGUGUCGGUUCUCUUUCGAGCACCCCCAGCUCUCACCAGGGUUCCGACCAUGUCAAGGGUAGGUAAGGUUUUUCGCGUUGCAUCGAAUUAAUCCACAUCAUCCACCGCUUGUGCGGGUCCCCGUCAAUUCCUUUGAGUUUUAAUCUUGCGACCGUACUCCCCAGGCGGUCAACUUCACGCGUUAGCUACGUUACUAAGGAAAUGAAUCCCCAACAACUAGUUGACAUCGUUUAGGGCGUGGACUAC
RNAcentral lists this unclassified non-coding RNA (372 nucleotides) under uncultured Gammaproteobacteria bacterium. RNAcentral's name for it is "contains 16S-23S intergenic spacer region". Lineage: Bacteria; Pseudomonadati; Pseudomonadota; Gammaproteobacteria. The record is from RNAcentral.